Molecule: ribosomal RNA, 460 nt
Filed under: uncultured bacterium
Lineage: Bacteria
Description: partial 16S ribosomal RNA
Rfam family: Bacterial small subunit ribosomal RNA
Source: RNAcentral
CCUACGGGAGGCUGCAGUGAGGAAUAUUGGUCAAUGGACGAGAGUCUGAACCAGCCAAGUAGCGUGAAGGAUGACUGCCCUAUGGGUUGUAAACUUCUUUUAUAUGGGAAUAAAAUGUUCCACGUGUGGGAUUUUGUAUGUACCAUAUGAAUAAGGAUCGGCUAACUCCGUGCCAGCAGCCGCGGUAAUACGGAGGAUCCGAGCGUUAUCCGGAUUUAUUGGGUUUAAAGGGAGCGUAGGUGGAUUGUUAAGUCAGUUGUGAAAGUUUGCGGCUCAACCGUAAAAUUGCAGUUGAAACUGGCAGUCUUGAGUACAGUAGAGGUGGGCGGAAUUCGUGGUGUAGCGGUGAAAUGCUUAGAUAUCACGAAGAACUCCGAUUGCGAAGGCAGUUCACUGGACUGCAACUGACACUGAGGCUCGAAAGUGUGGGUAUCAAACAGGAUUAGAUACCCUUGUAGAC